Molecule: ribosomal RNA, 560 nt
Filed under: Streptomyces sp. C2-7
Lineage: Bacteria; Bacillati; Actinomycetota; Actinomycetes; Kitasatosporales; Streptomycetaceae
Description: bacterial SSU rRNA
Rfam family: Bacterial small subunit ribosomal RNA
Source: RNAcentral
GGACGAACGCUGGCGGCGUGCUUAACACAUGCAAGUCGAACGAUGAAGCCCUUCGGGGUGGAUUAGUGGCGAACGGGUGAGUAACACGUGGGCAAUCUGCCCUUCACUCUGGGACAAGCCCUGGAAACGGGGUCUAAUACCGGAUACGACCUGCCGAGGCAUCUCGGCGGGUGGAAAGCUCCGGCGGUGAAGGAUGAGCCCGCGGCCUAUCAGCUUGUUGGUGAGGUAACGGCUCACCAAGGCGACGACGGGUAGCCGGCCUGAGAGGGCGACCGGCCACACUGGGACUGAGACACGGCCCAGACUCCUACGGGAGGCAGCAGUGGGGAAUAUUGCACAAUGGGCGAAAGCCUGAUGCAGCGACGCCGCGUGAGGGAUGACGGCCUUCGGGUUGUAAACCUCUUUCAGCAGGGAAGAAGCGAAAGUGACGGUACCUGCAGAAGAAGCGCCGGCUAACUACGUGCCAGCAGCCGCGGUAAUACGUAGGGCGCAAGCGUUGUCCGGAAUUAUUGGGCGUAAGAGCUCGUANGCGGCUUGUCACGUCGGGUGUGAAACCCGGG